UCCACGCUGUAAACGAUGUCGAUUUGGGGGUUGAGCUUUGAGCUUGGCGCCCGUAGCUAACGUGAUAAAUCGACCGCCUGGGGAGUACGGCCGCAAGGUUAAAACUCAAAUGAAUUGACGGGGGCCCGCACAAGCGGUGGAGCAUGUGGUUUAAUUCGAUGCAACGCGAAGAACCUUACCUACUCUUGACAUCCAGAGAACUUUCCAGAGAUGGAUUGGUGCCUUCGGGAACUC
RNAcentral lists this ribosomal RNA (234 nucleotides) under uncultured bacterium. Its description in RNAcentral is "partial 16S ribosomal RNA". It matches the Rfam family "Bacterial small subunit ribosomal RNA", at positions 794 to 1029 of the family's 1533-position model. The record is from RNAcentral.